CCCUUAGAUGUUCUGGGCCGCACACGCGCUACACUGAAGGAGGCAGCGUGUACUCCUGGAUCGAAAGAUUUGGGUAACCCGCGAAUCUCCUUCGUGCUAGGGAUUGAGGUUUGCAAUUAUCCUUCAUGAACGAGGAAUUCCCAGUAAGUGCAAGUCAUAAGCUUGCGCUGACUACGUCCCUGCCCUUUGUACACACCGCCCGUCGCUACUACCGAGUGAAUGAUUUAGUGAGGACUUCGGACUGGGACCGAUGCGGCUUUCGGGCUGCGUCGGUAUUCUGGAAAGAUGUCCAAACUGUAUCAUUUAGAGGAAGUAAAANUCGUAACA
RNAcentral lists this ribosomal RNA (327 nucleotides) under uncultured eukaryote. RNAcentral describes it as "partial 18S ribosomal RNA". It matches the Rfam family "Eukaryotic small subunit ribosomal RNA", at positions 1470 to 1796 of the family's 1831-position model. The record is from RNAcentral.